GAUGAACGCUGGCUACAGGCUUAACACAUGCAAGUCGUGGGGCAGCAUGAAGGAAGCUUGCUUCCUUUGAUGACGACCGGCGCACGGGUGAGUAACGCGUAUCCAACCUGCCCAUGGGUCAGGAAUAACCUUCCGAAAGGGAGCCUAAUACCUGAUGUUGUGAGAAGAAGGCCUCUGAUUUUCACGAAAGACUUCGGUCGCCGAUGGAUGGGGAUGCGUACGAUUAGGCAGCAGGCGGGGUAACGGCCCACCUGGCCUACGAUCGUUAGGGGUUCUGAGAGGAAGGUCCCCCACACUGGUACUGAGACACGGACCAGACUCC
RNAcentral lists this ribosomal RNA (322 nucleotides) under uncultured Prevotella sp. RNAcentral's name for it is "bacterial SSU rRNA". It matches the Rfam family "Bacterial small subunit ribosomal RNA", at positions 28 to 339 of the family's 1533-position model. Lineage: Bacteria; Pseudomonadati; Bacteroidota; Bacteroidia; Bacteroidales; Prevotellaceae. The record is from RNAcentral.